This 1340-nucleotide long non-coding RNA is filed under the name Populus trichocarpa (black cottonwood). RNAcentral's name for it is "long non-coding RNA (PTRI_LNC003556)". Lineage: Eukaryota; Viridiplantae; Streptophyta; Magnoliopsida; Malpighiales; Salicaceae. The record is from RNAcentral.
GCCGAGUACGUCUUAAACUCAUGAGCCCCAAUAGCUUUGAAUAAGUAGCUAUUAAGACCUCGAACAAACCUCUUAAUCUUCCUCUCCUCAGUCGGUACCAAAUACCCGGCAAAUCUGGACAACCGUGUGAAUUCCACUUCAUACUCUGUCACACUCAAGUCACCCUGAACCAACUUUUCAAACUCAUAUGAUCUGGCUUCCCUCACACUUUCAGGUAGAAAACGUUCCAAAAACAUCUCAGAAAAUUCCUUCCACUCCAUCGGUGGCGAACUAACUGCCCUUUCACCCCUCUGAUAAUGGACCUCGACAAGAAAUUCCUUGACUGACUUAAUUGGCCCUGCCGGCCCCCAUGUCCCCUGCUAGGACCUGUAUCAGACCGCUGCUGAAAAGAGAACUGAUUUGCCACUUUGGGCCUCUUAACCGAACCCACUGAUAAUUCAUCCUCUAACUCUCGUGCCUCAAUAGCUCGGGCACGAUCCACUAUGGCUGAGUACGUCUUAAACUCAUGAGCCCCAAUAGCUUUGAAUAAGUAGCUAUUAAGACCUCGAACAAACCUCUUAAUCUUCCUCUCCUCAGUCGGUACCAAAUACCCAGCAAAUCUGGACAAUCGUGUGAAUUCCACUUCAUACUCUGUCACACUCAAGUCACCCUGAACCAACUUUUCAAACUCAUAUGAUCUGGCUUCCCUUACACUUUCAGGUAGAAAACGUUCCAAAAACAUCUCAGAAAAUUCCUUCCACUCCAUCGGUGGUGAACUAACUGCCCUUUCACCCCUCUUGGACUCAUACCAGUUCACAGCCACCUCUCCUUCUAGCCUGAAAGAUGCCAAAGUCACUGCACGAUGAUCCGUGCACCCCAUGGCCUCACACCUACGCCACACUGCAUCUAAAAACUGUUGUGGGUCCUCAGAGUUAUCAACACCCUUAAAAGUAGGAGGUGCCAGCUUAAGGAACUCUGACAAUGGUACUUUCACCCCAUGCACGGUAUGGGAAGUCGAAGAUGCAUUCUUAUCCUUCUCCUUCUCUCUCUCAGUUAAAAGGUCAGCCAGGGUCUGCAUGGCCUGUCCAAUCUUAUCCAAAGCACUGUCAGUAUAAGACACCCUAUCAUGGGAUUCCUGCUCCUGAUUCUUACCAACAUCCAGACCAUAGUCUCCCUCAAACUCCACCUCAUCCUGAACUUCUGCUUCCAUUGGUUGAGGCGAAGGGGUUCUAACCCUCUUUUUGCGCCUCUCCUUCCUAAGCUGAGCGAUAGGAAUGUCCUCUUGAUCAUUACCGACAUAUUCGGCAUUAACUACAUGCUUAGCUCUCGGCAUAUUUCCUAAAAGAAUGCAUUUACAUAUA